GCCUAAAAUUAAGCCUAAUUUUAACCUCAUGUAACCGACAACCUUUAAAGACCCAACAAAACAUUUUACCAUUUUAGUAAAGGCGAUCGAAAAGCUCAUUAGCGCUUUACCCCUAGUACCGCAAGGGAAAAAUGAAAUAGCUUUGAAAUAGCUUUAAAGCAAAACACAGCAAAGAUUAUUACUUG
RNAcentral lists this ribosomal RNA (185 nucleotides) under Limnonectes fragilis (fragile wart frog). RNAcentral describes it as "partial 16S ribosomal RNA". The record is from RNAcentral. Lineage: Eukaryota; Metazoa; Chordata; Amphibia; Anura; Dicroglossidae.